AUUGAACGCUGGCGGCUUGCUUAACACAUGCAAGUCGAGCGGUAGCACAGGGGAGCUUGCUCCCUGGGUGACGAGCGGCGGACGGGUGAGUAAUGUCUGGGAAACUGCCUGAUGGAGGGGGAUAACUACUGGAAACGGUAGCUAAUACCGCAUAACGUCGCAAGACCAAAGAGGGGGACCUUCGGGCCUCUUGCCAUCAGAUGUGCCCAGAUGGGAUUAGCUAGUAGGUGGGGUAAUGGCUCACCUAGGCGACGAUCCCUAGCUGGUCUGAGAGGAUGACCAGCCACACUGGAACUGAGACACGGUCCAGACUCCUACGGGAGGCAGCAGUGGGGAAUAUUGCACAAUGGGCGCAAGCCUGAUGCAGCCAUGCCGCGUGUGUGAAGAAGGCCUUCGGGCUGUAAAGCACUUUCAGCGAGGAGGAAGGUGGUGAACUUAAUACGUUCAUCAAUUGACGUUACUCGCAGAAGAAGCACCGGCUAACUCCGUGCCAGCAGCCGCGGUAAUACCGGAGGGUGCAAGCGUUAAUCGGAAUUACUGGGCGUAAAGCGCACGCAGGCGGUUUGUUAAGUCAGAUGUGAAAUCCCCGGGCUCAACCUGGGAACUGCAUUUGAAACUGGCAAGCUAGAGUCUCGUAGAGGGGGGUAGAAUUCCAGGUGUAGCGGUGAAAUGCGUAGAGAUCUGGAGGAAUACCGGUGGCGAAGGCGGCCCCCUGGACGAAGACUGACGCUCAGGUGCGAAAGCGUGGGGAGCAAACAGGAUUAGAUACCCUGGUAGUCCACGCUGUAAACGAUGUCGAUUUGGAGGUUGUGCCCUUGAGGCGUGGCUUCCGGAGCUAACGCGUUAAAUCGACCGCCUGGGGAGUACGGCCGCAAGGUUAAAACUCAAAUGAAUUGACGGGGGCCCGCACAAGCGGUGGAGCAUGUGGUUUAAUUCGAUGCAACGCGAAGAACCUUACCUACUCUUGACAUCCAGAGAACUUAGCAGAGAUGCUUUGGUGCCUUCGGGAACUCUGAGACAGGUGCUGCAUGGCUGUCGUCAGCUCGUGUUGUGAAAUGUUGGGUUAAGUCCCGCAACGAGCGCAACCCUUAUCCUUUGUUGCCAGCGGUUCGGCCGGGAACUCAAAGGAGACUGCCAGUGAUAAACUGGAGGAAGGUGGGGAUGACGUCAAGUCAUCAUGGCCCUUACGAGUAGGGCUACACACGUGCUACAAUGGCAUAUACAAAGAGAAGCGACCUCGCGAGAGCAAGCGGACCUCAUAAAGUAUGUCGUAGUCCGGAUUGGAGUCUGCAACUCGACUCCAUGAAGUCGGAAUCGCUAGUAAUCGUAGAUCAGAAUGCUACGGUGAAUACGUUCCCGGGCC
Molecule: ribosomal RNA, 1363 nt
Filed under: uncultured bacterium
Lineage: Bacteria
Description: 16S ribosomal RNA
Rfam family: Bacterial small subunit ribosomal RNA
Source: RNAcentral